UUUGGAACCAGAUGCUCCGCAGGGCGUAGCUUUAUACGACCGCAGAGGUUGAACCCUGAACUGUUGGGGCAAGUAUGGACACAACAUUCAAGCUGGAUUCAGCUCUAAAUUUGGAUUGUGAUUAAAUAGUUGACACAGCAUAGGUUUCUGACACAGAAUGAAUGUGUUCUAAUGAACUUAAAAUUUUUUGUUUUCUCUUAGAGCAAUUCACUAUGCGGUUGAAUAUUAAUCCUCUCAAAAAAAUGUUUGAAGAAAUUUU
This 259-nucleotide long non-coding RNA is filed under the name Mytilus galloprovincialis (Mediterranean mussel). Lineage: Eukaryota; Metazoa; Mollusca; Bivalvia; Mytilida; Mytilidae. The record is from RNAcentral.